CAGUCGCCGCGGUAAUACGAAGGGGGCUAGCGUUGUUCGGAAUUACUGGGCGUAAAGGGCGCGUAGGCGGCCAUUCAAGUUAGAUGUGAAAGCCCUGGGCUCAACCUAGGAAUUGCAUUUGAUACUGUUGCUUGAGUGGGGAAGAGGGUCGUGGAAUUCCCAGUGUAGAGGUGAAAUUCGUAGAUAUUGGGAAGAACACCGGUGGCGAAGGCGACUCUCUGGUCUGUAACUGACGCUGAGGAGCGAAAGCGUGGGGAGCAAACAGGAUUAGAUACCCGCGUAGUCCCUGUCUCUUAUACAC
Molecule: ribosomal RNA, 301 nt
Filed under: uncultured bacterium
Lineage: Bacteria
Description: partial 16S ribosomal RNA
Rfam family: Bacterial small subunit ribosomal RNA
Source: RNAcentral